RNAcentral lists this ribosomal RNA (253 nucleotides) under uncultured bacterium. RNAcentral's name for it is "partial 16S ribosomal RNA". It matches the Rfam family "Bacterial small subunit ribosomal RNA", at positions 524 to 776 of the family's 1533-position model. The record is from RNAcentral.
UACAGGGGGGGCAAGCGUUGUUCGGAAUUACUGGGCGUAAAGGGUCCGUAGGUGGCUUGCUAAGUCAGACGUGAAAUCCCUCAGCUUAACUGGGGAACUGCGUCUGAUACUGGCGAGCUUGAGUGCAGGAGAGGAACGCGGAAUUCCAGGUGUAGCGGUGAAAUGCGUAGAUAUCUGGAGGAACACCGGUGGCGAAGGCGGCGUUCUGGACUGCAACUGACACUGAGGCACGAAAGCUUGGGGAGCAAACAGG